UACGUAGGGUCCGAGCGUUGUCCGGAAUUACUGGGCGUAAAGAGCUCGUAGGUGGUUUGUCGCGUUGUUCGUGAAAACUCACAGCUUAACUGUGGGCGUGCGGGCGAUACGGGCAGACUUGAGUACUGCAGGGGAGACUGGAAUUCCUGGUGUAGCGGUGGAAUGCGCAGAUAUCAGGAGGAACACCGGUGGCGAAGGCGGGUCUCUGGGGCAGUAACUGACGCUGAGGAGCGAAAGCGUGGGGAGCGAACAG
RNAcentral lists this ribosomal RNA (253 nucleotides) under uncultured bacterium. RNAcentral's name for it is "partial 16S ribosomal RNA". It matches the Rfam family "Bacterial small subunit ribosomal RNA", at positions 524 to 775 of the family's 1533-position model. The record is from RNAcentral.